GACGAACGCUGGCGGCGUGCCUAAUGCAUGCAAGUCGAGCGGGGCUACGGUCUUCGGACUGUAGCUUAGCGGCGAACGGGUGAGUAACACGUAGGUAAUCUACCCUUCAGAGGAGGACAACCUCAGGAAACUGAGGCUAAACCUUCAUACGUUCACUGGUAGGGAUACUGGUGAAGAAAGAGUUACCUUAGUGGUAGCUGCUGAAGGAUGAGCCUGCGGCCCAUCAGGUAGUUGGUGAGGUAACGGCUCACCAAGCCGAAGACGGGUAACCGGUCUGAGAGGAUGUCCGGUCACACUGGGACUGAGACACGGCCCAGACUCCUACGGGAGGCAGCAGCAGGGAAUCUUGGGCAAUGGGCGAAAGCCUGACCCAGCGACGCCGCGUGGAGGAAGAAGUCCUCGGGCGUAAACUCCUUUUCUCAGGGAAAAGGAUGAUGGUACCUGAGGAAGUAAGCCCCGGCUAACUAACGUGCCAGCAGCCGACGGUAAAGCUACGUAGA
RNAcentral lists this ribosomal RNA (500 nucleotides) under uncultured bacterium. Its description in RNAcentral is "bacterial SSU rRNA". It matches the Rfam family "Bacterial small subunit ribosomal RNA", at positions 28 to 531 of the family's 1533-position model. The record is from RNAcentral.